UGUGGCUUUUAAUCUUUUGAAAUAGUUGUGUGAUUUUAAAAUAUAACUCAAUGGAUCCCGAUGCUAUCUCGCGUGCUCUCUGUUGGAUUACUCUAGUGGUCGCCACGCUUAUGAAUGGGAUAAACGCGGAUAAAAGCACACAAAAGACAACCUUCAGCCCUGGAAGCAUUCACAGAUGGCAAAACUCUCUUUCUCACCAAACCAUUCAAUUCGGUUGAAGUCACUUUUCCAUGUCUUCAGUACUCACAAUGGGACACUUUGCAUGCACUCAGGGGCUGCAUCAUAGUCUGGCUGUCAGCUCACUUAGCCUUGCUUACGCACUCAAAGCAUGAGUAAUACCAUUUCCCCACGAGAGCACCACCACAUCACUUCAACGGAAUUUCCCCAUUUCAUUUCAUGUGAAAUAGAGGUGCAGUAUAGAAGGCCCUUGGAUCUACUUGUUCAGAUGCAAAACAUGACAUUUCAAGCAUAGGCAAACCUCCUUACUCACCCCAUCUCUAAGGUUCAGCCCUCUGUACAAAAUUUGAAUUUUGGAAUGGAGAUGUUGAUGAAUGUGUACCUUGUUCUUCAUGUAAACAGUACCCAAAAACCCCAUCAUGUGACACAUGCCCACCCAUAGAGCCUUCAGAUUCCUGGAGGGUGGCAG
Myxocyprinus asiaticus (Chinese sucker) is the source of this 646-nucleotide long non-coding RNA. RefSeq lists it as uncharacterized. NCBI's taxonomy places the organism in Eukaryota, Metazoa, Chordata, Actinopteri, Cypriniformes, Catostomidae. The record is from RefSeq and is a predicted model, not a curated record. The transcript is spliced from 4 exons.